UGGGGAAUAUUGGACAAUGGGCGCAAGCCUGAUCCAGCCAUGCCGCGUGAACGAUGAAGGCCUUAGGGUUGUAAAGUUCUUUUGUCAGGGAAGAUAAUGACGGUACCUGAAGAAUAAGCACCGGCUAACUUCGUGCCAGCAGCCGCGGUAAUACGAAGGGUGCUAGCGUUGUUCGGAAUCACUGGGCGUAAAGCGCGCGUAGGCGGCUUAACAAGUCAGAGGUGAAAGCCUGGAGCUCAACUCCAGAACUGCCUUUGAAACUGUUAAGCUUGAGUGUCGGAGGGGAUAGCGGAAUUUCUAAUGUAGAGGUGAAAUUCGUAGAUAUUAGAAGGAACACCGGUGGCGAAGGCGGCUAUCUGGACGACAACUGACGCUGAGGCGCGAAAGCGUGGGGAUCAAACAGGAUUAGAUACCCAUGUAGUCCCUGAGCGGGCUGGCAAGGCGCAU
This 447-nucleotide ribosomal RNA is filed under the name uncultured bacterium. RNAcentral describes it as "bacterial SSU rRNA". It matches the Rfam family "Bacterial small subunit ribosomal RNA", at positions 355 to 825 of the family's 1533-position model. The record is from RNAcentral.